AAUCAACGCUGGCGGCGUGCCUAACACAUGCAAGUCGAACGCGAAAAGGGCUUCGGCUCUUAGUAGAGUGGCGAACGGGUGAGUAACACGUGGGUGACCUACCUUCGAAUGGGGGAUAACGUCCCGAAAGGGACGCUAAUACCGCAUAACAUCCUGCCUUUGAACAGGUGGAGAUCAAAGCCGGGGAUCGCAAGACCUGGCGUUUGAAGAGGGGCCCGCGUCUGAUUAGCUAGUUGGUGAGGUAACGGCCCACCAAGGCGACGAUCAGUAUCCGGCCUGAGAGGGCGGACGGACACACUGGGACUGAGACACGGCCCAGACUCCUACGGGAGGCAGCAGUGGGGAAUUGUUCGCAAUGGGCGCAAGCCUGACGACGCAACGCCGCGUGGAGGAUGAAGGUCUUCGGAUUGUAAACUCCUGUUGCCCGGACGAAUGGCUCCGACCUAACACGUCGGAGUGUGACGGUACCGGGUGAGGAAGCCCCGGCUAACUCUGUGCCAGCCGCCGCCGU
RNAcentral lists this ribosomal RNA (511 nucleotides) under uncultured bacterium. Its description in RNAcentral is "bacterial SSU rRNA". It matches the Rfam family "Bacterial small subunit ribosomal RNA", at positions 32 to 521 of the family's 1533-position model. The record is from RNAcentral.